RNAcentral lists this ribosomal RNA (1313 nucleotides) under metagenome. RNAcentral's name for it is "bacterial LSU rRNA". It matches the Rfam family "Bacterial large subunit ribosomal RNA", at positions 1577 to 2925 of the family's 2925-position model. The record is from RNAcentral.
UCAACCUAGUUGUGCGUGUGUAAAGGUAGUGCCAAGAAAAGCGAUGAUCAUGUUGAAAAUCAAUUCCCGGUACCCGAAACCGACACAGGUGGGCAAGUAGAGAAUACUAAGGGGCGCGAGGUAACUCUCUCCAAGGAACUCGGCAAAAUGACCCCGUAACUUAGGGAGAAGGGGUGCCACCGAGAGGUGGUCGCAGUGAAGUGGCCCAGGCGACUGUUUAGCAAAAACAUAGGUCUCUGCAAACUCGAAAGAGGAGGUAUAGGGGCUGACGCCUGCCCAGUGCCGGAAGGUUAAAGAAGUUGGUCAGUUUUAGGAUGAAGCUAGCGACUGAAGCCCCGGUGAACGGCGGCCGUAACUAUAACGGUCCUAAGGUAGCGAAAUUCCUUGUCGGGUAAGUUCCGACCCGCACGAAAGGCGUAACGAUCUGGGCGCUGUCUCGGAGAGAGGCUCGGCGAAAUAGGAUUGUCUGUGAAGAUACGGACUACCUGCAUUUGGACAGAAAGACCCUAUGAAGCUUUACUAUAGCUUGGAAUUGUGUACGGGCUUCCUGUGCGCAGGAUAGGUGGGAGGCGUAGAAGGUAUUCUUGUGGGGAUACUGGAGCCAACGGUGAGAUACCACUCUCAGGAGGCUAGAAUUCUAACUUAAUUAAGGACAGUUUCAGGUGGGUAGUUUGACUGGGGCGGUCGCCUCCAAAAAGGUAACGGAGGCGUACAAAGGUUCCCUCAGACUGGUUGGAAAUCAGUCGAAGAGUGCAAAGGCAGAAGGGAGCUUGACUGCGAGAAGUACAGUUCGAGCAGGGUGGAAACACGGUCUUAGUGAUCCGACGGUGCUGUGUGGAAGGGCCGUCGCUCAACGGAUAAAAGUUACUCUAGGAUAACAGGCUGAUCUCCCCCAAGAGUUCACAUCGACGGGGAGGUUUGGCACCUCGAUGUCGGCUCAUCGCAACCUGGGGCGGAAGUACGUCCCAAGGGUUGGGCUGUUCGCCCAUUAAAGCGGUACGUGAGCUGGGUUCAGAACGUCGUGAGACAGUUCGGUCCAUAUCCGAUGUAGGCGUGAGAAUAUUGAGAGGAGCCUUCCUUAGUACGAGAGGACCGGGAAGGACGCACCGCUGGUGUACCUGUUAUGAUGCCAAUUGUAAACGCAGGGUAGCCAAGUGCGGAGAGGAUAACCGCUGAAAGCAUCUAAGUGGGAAGCCCACCUCAAGAUGAGUAUUCUGGUGUAAGGUCACGGGAAGACGACCCGUAAAUAGGCACGAGGUGGAAGUGCAGAGAUGUAUGAAGCCGAAGUGUACUAAUAGACCGUCGGCUUGACC